This 372-nucleotide ribosomal RNA is filed under the name uncultured organism. RNAcentral's name for it is "bacterial SSU rRNA". It matches the Rfam family "Bacterial small subunit ribosomal RNA", at positions 526 to 896 of the family's 1533-position model. The record is from RNAcentral.
CAGAGGGGGCAAGCGUUGUUCGGAAUUACUGGGCGUAAAGGGCGCGUAGGCGGCCGCCUAAGUCAGACGUGAAAUCCCUCGGCUCAACCGGGGAACUGCGUCUGAUACUGGGUGGCUUGAAUCCGGGAGAGGGAUGCGGAAUUCCAGGUGUAGCGGUGAAAUGCGUAGAUAUCUGGAGGAACACCGGUGGCGAAGGCGGCAUCCUGGACCGGCAUUGACGCUGGGGCGCGAAAGCCAGGGGAGCAAACGGGAUUAGAUACCCCGGUAGUCCUGGCCCUAAACGAUGAGUGCUUGGUGUGGCGGGUAUCGAUCCCUGCCGUGCCGAAGCUAACGCAUUAAGCACUCCGCCUGGGGAGUACGGUCGCAAGGCUG